Molecule: unclassified non-coding RNA, 334 nt
Filed under: soil metagenome
Description: partial contains 5.8S ribosomal RNA, internal transcribed spacer 2, and large subunit ribosomal RNA
Rfam family: 5.8S ribosomal RNA (bases 1-120)
Source: RNAcentral
GAUGAAUAACGUAGCGAAAUGCGAUAAGUAAUGUGAAUUGCAGAAUUCAGUGAAUCAUCGAAUCUUUGAACGCACAUUGCGCCCGCCAGUAUUCUGGCGAGCAUGCCUGUUCGAGCGUCAUUUCAACCAUCAAGCCCCAGGCUUGUGUUGGAGCCCUGCGGCUGCCGCAGCCUCCCAAAACCAGUGGCGGGCUCGCUAUCACACCGAGUGCAGUAGUUUACUCUUCGCUCAGGGCGUGUGGCGGGUGCUAGCCGUGAAACCCCCAACUUCUCAAGGUUGACCUCGGAUCAGGUAGGAAUACCCGCUGAACUUAAGCAUAUCAAUAAGCGGAGGA